RNAcentral lists this long non-coding RNA (469 nucleotides) under Gopherus evgoodei (Goodes thornscrub tortoise). RNAcentral's name for it is "lncRNA (ENSGEVG00005006956.1)". Lineage: Eukaryota; Metazoa; Chordata; Testudines; Testudinidae. The record is from RNAcentral.
ACAAAGGCUAGUGCUGCUGCAGCUGCUGAGACUGAUGUGUGCUGUGCUGCUGCUGCCGCUGCCUCACUUUUCCCAGGAGCCGGAGCAUGUUCACUCUCUUCCUGUUUUGCAUGAGCAGAAUUUCCAAUUCAAAAACUGGACAUAAUCUCCCUCAUAGAACGAGAGGAAGAGCCAUGAAGUCCUGAUCUCCAGGGUUACGAGGAAAAGGAUAUGCUGAGUGGCACCUGUGCAGGUGAUGGGAUUGUGAAUGAGAAUGGGGAGGAGAAUCUGCACCAGGACAGUCAUGAGUCAGUGGAACCACAUGACACAUUAUCAGGAGCAUCCCAAAGGAAUAUUUCCCAGAGUCCUGACCAGGAUAAAGCCUGUGAGGGUCAGCACAGAUCAGAAAUGCAUCAAAGAACUCCUCCAGGGAAGAGAUGAUGUAAAUCAACUGCAUGUGAAAUAGAUUUUAGGAAACUGCCAGACAUUA